AUGGGCUCGAGCCCCGCGGCCGUCGCGUCCCCGGAUCCGGGGGCGGACGCCGGCCCCAAGCAGGAUUCUGGUGCCGUGGGGCCGGCGGGAGACUCCGAUGUGACCAUGGCGGAGGCCUCCGAGGAGGUGGCUGCUGCCGCUGAGGUCAAGGAUGAGGGGGCUGCCCUGGCCCGGGAUGCUAUUCGAGGUGCGCCAGAUGCCGGCCGCGAAGAGGCAGAUGCGGCUGCGGCGGUUGAUCCGUUGUACGCCACGGAGGCAGCUGGCAUGGUUGUCACAGAAGGAUGUGUCGAUGGUGAUUCCAUCAACGGGCUUGGGCUUGGAAGCGGCAGCAGCGACAGCAAGGCUGGAGCUUUGACUGGCGAGCCUGAGUGGGAGCUGGUCACAGCAGAGGAUGUUGCUGGUGCUUCUGCUACAUCUGAGCAAGCCGAAGCCGAAUCUGGUGAACUCGGAGAAUAUCAUGUCAACGCAACCCCUGUGGCCGGAAAUGAAGGACAGGAUAAUGGUGUGGCACAUUUCGAGGAGGAGAUACAGAAUGGCUUGGCAAUUUCUGCUCAGUGCGCCAGAUACAGCAUUCCUCCUCUUGACAAAGAAGGCUUUCGAGUCUCUGAUCUUGUCUGGGGUAAAGUGAAAGGUCACCCUUGGUGGCCCGGUGAGAUCUUUGAUCCUUCGAAUGCAUCUGAGCUGGCAUUGAAGCACCAGAGAAAGGAUAGUCAUUUGGUUGCAUAUUUUGGUGACAACACUUUUGCUUGGUGCGACGAAUCCCAGUUGAAGCCUUUUGUAACAGACUAUUCACAGAUGGAGAAACAGAGUAGUUUGGAUUCCUUUGUCGGUUCUGUCAAUUAUGCACUUGAAGAACUUUCAAGGCGGAUUUUGUCAGGGAUGAGCUGUGCUUGUCUGCCAGAAGAACUCUCUGACAGUGGAAUGUCAUAUAUGGUUGAGAAUGCUGGGCUCAAGGAUGGAGUUACUUGCUCAACAGUCAACCGGUCUGAGAUCUUGGCAUCUUUUAGUCCAGAAAGCCUUCUUCGUUAUAUUAGGUCGCUAGCUCUGUUCCCUGGCCAAGGUGGUGAUCUCCUAGAGUUAGUGAUAGCCUGUUCUCAACUUACAUCUUUCUAUCGAUCUAAGGGAUGCCCUGAACUUGCAUCCUUCCAGACCGGUAGUGCAUGGGUCGAGGAUGAUACAGAUAUUUCUCCCAUCGAGGAUGUAGUGGUUGAGGAAGUUGUCGUCAGUGAAGUGCCUCCUCCAGAGGUCAAGCCCAAAAGAGGCAGGGGGAGACCUCGUAAACACAAGCCUGAGGAUAAACUGGAGUUGCCAGGGAAACAGAAGCCUGCAGUUGCAGCGGAAAGACAAAUGAUCAAGGACUUUGAUGAUAAGAAAAGAAGUCUUGACUCGUUUGAAGAUUUGGAUGCAAAGUCACCAACUGGUGGUUCUUUCAAGAUUGGAGAGUGCAUUCGGCGAGCUGCAAGCCAGCUGACCGGGCCUUCGCCCAUUGCAAAGUCCCAGAAUGAAAAUACCGCUGAAGCAGAGAAUGCAGAAUUUGAUGUCUCUAGUGAUGAUGCUGCGAAUGAACUUACUGUGGAGAAGUGCGCAAAGAGGAGACGCUUGCAUAGCCAUCACCUUGCGGACCCCAAGGAGUUAUUCUCUCAGCUUUGCUCGGUUGCCAUAGAGCCAACGGAUGGAUACAACUUCUCGGCACUGACAAUCAGUUACUUCAGUGAUUUCAGGAAUUAUGUUGUCUCUGUUGCUACUGAAGCAAGCAUUAUCGAAAAAAGUACAUCAAAGAGGAGGAGAAAGAAGAGGGUUUUGCCUUCUCCUGAGCUAGAGACUAUUGAUCAUAUGCAGGACUCCUACUGGUCUGGUUUGAGUUUGCUUAAUCACCCGAUUCAUAGCCUCAAAAGAGCUUCUACCAACACGAGGCCAAGGCGUAGGCGCAAGUCAUCACAUGAAACAGAUUUGUCCUCUGUACAGGAUCAGCAGAUGGCUCCUAAGAAAGAGAUACAAGUGGCUCCUAAGAAACAGAUACAAGUGGCUCCUAAGAAGCAGAUACAAGUGAUAGAAAGAUCAAUUAUCCAUGUUGACGAAAAGAUAGUCGACGAGUGGAAGCCCACUGCACUUGUUUUAAGCUUUGGCAGGUCAACUGAUCUUCUCUCAGGAAAUGAUCUGAUCAAGAAAUUCGGUCGCUAUGGCCCACUAAAAGAAUCUGAAAGUGAAGUGCAAAAGAGCACAAAUACUAUUAAAAUUGUGUUCAAGAAGCGUGCUGAUGCUGAAAAGGCUUUCAACGCUGCUGGGAAGUAUGGCACUGUUGGUCCCUCGCUUCGUAGUUUUCGUCUAGUGAAUAUGCCGUUUUCUCUAGGAGAGUCAGAACCGAAUAAAUCUGAGGCAUGCCCUGGAGAUCAUGGCCCAAAGCUUCCUGGUCCAAGUGAGCCCAAAGUUUCACUGGAUGCUGUGAAAGAUAACCAGGUCGACAAAACUGAGAAAGCUGAAGCUGUACAGCCAUCAUCAGGUGAACAAGUUGAGACUGUCAAGAAAGCAUGCCAAGCUGAACCUGUAAAGCAAUCAUCAGGUGCACAAGUUGAGACCGUCCAGCAAGCAUGCCAACCUGAAGCUGACGCUGUUAAGAAAGCAGGAAAAAUUGCUGCUGAGCUAACUGGGCCAUCUGACCAAAUUGCAACAGCUGAUGUAACUGAGCAAACAAUGGAAAAUCAAGCUCCAAAAGAUGCAGUUAAAAUUCCUUGUGAUGUGAAGCUGGAGGAUGAAGCAUUGACUGAAGAAUCUGUAGAUCAAGUUGUAACUGAGCAAGUCAAAGUUCCAUCAGAUGCUGUACCCGACACUUCAAAAGUUCAACCAGAAACACCAGUCGAACACGUGGGUACAGCAGCAGAAGGGGACACUGCUCAAGACCUAACUGAAGUGUCAGUCCAAGAAGCUGGGUUGAAAAAGCAAAUCGUGGAACCCAAAACUGCUGAAAUAGAACCGGAACAAGUCAGCUGUCCCGAGCAAACUGUUCAAGUGGAAGAUGUAAUCGAUGCAUCAGGUGGACACACCAAUGUGGACAGAAAAACUGCAGAAGAGAUAACUAUGACUGAAGUCGUGUUUGAGGGAGCUGUGGAGUCAGAAGCUGUAGCACCAGUUGAGGAAACUGUAGAAGAUAAAGCUACUGCAGGGACACUUGGGAAGGCACCAGGGGAUGAAAUGGAAAACAGGGAUGCUGCUGAAUCACCGGGUGGGGAGGUUGGUGUAGGUGAAGCCACAGGCGAUUCACCAGAUGAGAGAGUUGCUGUUGAAGCACUUGCUGGUAUGUCCACACAAGGUGAAACGACUGCCGAAGCAGCUGAUGCUGAAAUUACAACAACUGGAAAAACUGCAGAGGGUGUCGGUGUUAAAACACGAAGUAAGAAGGCUACAACAGCCAAGAAACCUGUAGAGAGUGCCACGGCUGAAGCACCAGGUAAGAAGGCUACAACAGCCAAGAAACCAGUGGAGGAUGCCAUGGUCGAAGCGCGGGAUGAGAAAGCUGCGACAGCCAAGAAAAACGCAGAGGGUGCCACGGUCGAAGCGCCAGAUGAGAAAGCUAUGACAGCCGAGGAGGACGCCAUGGCAUAG
RNAcentral lists this ribosomal RNA (3600 nucleotides) under Triticum aestivum (bread wheat). RNAcentral describes it as "partial small subunit ribosomal RNA". The record is from RNAcentral. Lineage: Eukaryota; Viridiplantae; Streptophyta; Magnoliopsida; Poales; Poaceae.